CGGCCGCAAGGUUAAAACUCAAAUGAAUUGACGGGGGCCCGCACAAGCGGUGGAGCAUGUGGUUUAAUUCGAUGCAACGCGAAGAACCUUACCUACUCUUGACAUCCAGCGAAUCCUUUAGAGAUAGAGGAGUGCCUUCGGGAACGCUGAGACAGGUGCUGCAUGGCUGUCGUCAGCUCGUGUUGUGAAAUGUUGGGUUAAGUCCCGCAACGAGCGCAACCCUUAUCCUUUGUUGCCAGCGCGUCAUGGCGGGAACUCAAAGGAGACUGCCGGUGAUAAACCGGAGGAAGGUGGGGAUGACGUCAAGUCAUCAUGGCCCUUACGAGUAGGGCUACACACGUGCUACAAU
RNAcentral lists this ribosomal RNA (349 nucleotides) under Proteus sp. MGL40. RNAcentral describes it as "bacterial SSU rRNA". It matches the Rfam family "Bacterial small subunit ribosomal RNA", at positions 883 to 1231 of the family's 1533-position model. Lineage: Bacteria; Pseudomonadati; Pseudomonadota; Gammaproteobacteria; Enterobacterales; Morganellaceae. The record is from RNAcentral.